Long non-coding RNA from Papilio xuthus (Asian swallowtail), 277 nucleotides. RefSeq lists it as uncharacterized. Lineage: Eukaryota; Metazoa; Arthropoda; Insecta; Lepidoptera; Papilionidae. The transcript has 4 exons. The record is from RefSeq and is a predicted model, not a curated record.
UCUUAAAACUUUAUUGAUGGAACUGUGUUACUGUGAACGUUAUAUUUUACUUUUGGACUUUUAUAUUUAAAGAAACUUGGUUCAUUGGAAAUGUGGCCUAUCAUAUUCGCCCUUACACUCGCAGUGCUCCCGGCGGGGCGGCAUUGUUCCCGCCAGGGGGCGCCCCCCGCGACCACCACGCCGCUGCCCAACCCCAACUCUCGGCUCCACGUAAAACGGUGUCUUUGGUUGGAGAAUGAUAAUACAUUUGGUAAAAGAAUGCUCGGCGAUUUCAGUA